Styela clava is the source of this 416-nucleotide long non-coding RNA. RefSeq lists it as uncharacterized. NCBI's taxonomy places the organism in Eukaryota, Metazoa, Chordata, Ascidiacea, Stolidobranchia, Styelidae. The record is from RefSeq and is a predicted model, not a curated record.
AUUUAGGUUUUCUCCCUAAAUUUAAACUAAUUUUUCGAUAUUGAGGUUAUAUUAAAGAACCUUGAUGUCUGAUCACAAUUUGAGGGAAGAGAAGCUGCUGUUUUGAAAUCGAAGACUAAAAGAAGAUAAUGGAUCAACAACAAAAAGCCAACAACGAUAAUCGUUCAAACCAGGAUAAUCAGAACAACUUUCGAUACCAAGGCCAUCAGUCAGGAUAUACCGGAACUGGAACAAAAUCGGACUUGAGUAACCACGCGAACCAUAAGAAUCCGAAUAACCCGAGAUACCCGGGGAAGAAAUGAACCCGUGAUAGAAGAUGAAUAAAUGGAAAUUAAAGAAAUAUCAAUUUUAUUUUUAUAAUAAUUAUCAGCUUUUAAAACGAUCAAUUUCUGAGAAUACAAUUAACUGAAAUAGUA